GGAUGAACGCUGGCGGCGUGCCUAAUCCAUGCAAGUCGAGCGAACGGACGAGAAGCUUGCUUCUCUGAUGUUAGCGGCGGACGGGUGAGUAACACGUGGAUAACCUACCUAUAAGACUGGGAUAACUUCGGGAAACCGGAGCUAAUACCGGAUGAUAUUUUGAACCGCAUGGUUCAAAAGUGAAAGACGGUCUUGCUGUCACUUAUAGAUGGAUCCGCGCUGCAUUAGCUAGUUGGUAAGGUAAUGGCUUACCAAGGCAACGAUGCAUAGCCGACCUGAGAGGGUGAUCGGCCACACUGGAACUGAGACACGGUCCAGACUCCUACGGGAGGCAGCAGUAGGGAAUCUUCCGCAAUGGGCGAAAGCCUGACGGAGCAACGCCGCGUGAGUGAUGAAGGUCUUCGGAUCGUAAAACUCUGUUAUUAGGGAAGAACAUAUGUGUAAGUAACUGUGCACAUCUUGACGGUACCUAAUCAGAAAGCCACGGCUAACUACGUG
This 498-nucleotide ribosomal RNA is filed under the name uncultured bacterium. RNAcentral describes it as "partial 16S ribosomal RNA". It matches the Rfam family "Bacterial small subunit ribosomal RNA", at positions 27 to 507 of the family's 1533-position model. The record is from RNAcentral.